UUUGGUGCCUCCUGGAAUUCCUACCUCUACUGGCACAGGGAACAUGACUAUGAGUAUCCAACUAGCCCUGCCUUCCAAGUGUUCAUUGGCUAGAACUGAAUGCAAGCAGAUGAUGUAAGGUUACGUUAAAUAGAAAAGCAGAAACUAUGAAGUCUGAGAGACACCUAAUAAGGGACACACAGUUUCACAUCUGCUUUGUUGCUUAGCGACCAAGUUCAGCUUCAGAAGAUGGAUACCACAGAAUACGACAAUUCCAAAAAGACCUACCUUUGUGGAAUGAUUCAAGCUUCAGAAUUUUUCACGUUUUAUUAUGACUACUGAGGCUUUUUAUC
Molecule: long non-coding RNA, 332 nt
Organism: Homo sapiens (human)
Lineage: Eukaryota; Metazoa; Chordata; Mammalia; Primates; Hominidae
Source: Ensembl